CCUACGGGAGGCAGCAGUGAGGAAUAUUGGUCAAUGGACGAGAGUCUGAACCAGCCAAGUAGCGUGAAGGAUGACUGCCCUAUGGGUUGUAAACUUCUUUUAUAUGGGAAUAAAAUGUUCCACGUGUGGGAUUUUGUAUGUACCAUAUGAAUAAGGAUCGGCUAACUCCGUGCCAGCAGCCGCGGUAAUACGGAGGAUCCGAGCGUUAUCCGGAUUUAUUGGGUUUAAAGGGAGCGUAGGUGGAUUGUUAAGUCAGUUGUGAAAGUUUGCGGCUCAACCGUAAAAUUGCAGUUGAAACUGGCAGUCUUGAGUACAGUAGAGGUGGGCGGAAUUCGUGGUGUAGCGGUGAAAUGCUUAGAUAUAACGAAGAACUCCGAUUGCGAAGGCAGUUCACUGGACUGCAACUGACACUGAGGCUCGAAAGUGUGGGUAUCAAACAGGAUUAGAUACCCGAGUAGUC
This 460-nucleotide ribosomal RNA is filed under the name uncultured bacterium. RNAcentral describes it as "partial 16S ribosomal RNA". It matches the Rfam family "Bacterial small subunit ribosomal RNA", at positions 338 to 795 of the family's 1533-position model. The record is from RNAcentral.